GACGAACGCUGGCGGCGUGCCUAAUACAUGCAAGUAGGACGCAGUUGCGAACGGGUGAGUAACGCGUAGGUAACUACCUAUUAGAGGGGGAUAACUAUUGGAAACGAUAGCUAAUACCGCAUACUAGUAGAUGGACCUGCGUUGUAUUAGCUAGUAGGUAGGGUAAUGGCCUACCUAGGCAACGAUACACAGCCGACCUGGGAAGGAGGACGGACACACUGGGACUGGGACACGGUCCAGACUGCUAAGGGAGGCAGCAGUAGGGAAAUAUCGGAAAUGGGGGGAACCCUGACCGAGCAACGGCGCGGGAGUGAAGGAGGUUCUCGGAUCGGAAAGCUCUGUUGUUAAGGGAGCGGUACUUAACCAGAAAGGGACGGCUAACUACGUGCCAGCAGCCGCGGUAAUAC
RNAcentral lists this ribosomal RNA (407 nucleotides) under uncultured bacterium. RNAcentral describes it as "partial 16S ribosomal RNA". It matches the Rfam family "Bacterial small subunit ribosomal RNA", at positions 28 to 526 of the family's 1533-position model. The record is from RNAcentral.